Molecule: ribosomal RNA, 253 nt
Filed under: uncultured bacterium
Lineage: Bacteria
Description: partial 16S ribosomal RNA
Rfam family: Bacterial small subunit ribosomal RNA
Source: RNAcentral
UACGUAGGGUGCGAGCGUUAAUCGGAAUUACUGGGCGUAAAGCGUGCGCAGGCGGUUCGUUAAGUCAGAUGUGAAAGCCCCGGGCUCAACCUGGGAACUGCAUUUGAAACUGGCGGGCUUGAGUGCGGCAGAGGGGGGUGGAAUUCCGCGUGUAGCAGUGAAAUGCGUAGAGAUGCGGAGGAACACCGAUGGCGAAGGCAGCCCCCUGGGCCGACACUGACGCUCAGGCACGAAAGCGUGGGGAGCAAAAGGG